Molecule: ribosomal RNA, 403 nt
Filed under: Fusobacteriota bacterium
Lineage: Bacteria; Fusobacteriati; Fusobacteriota
Description: Fusobacteria bacterium partial 16S ribosomal RNA
Rfam family: Bacterial small subunit ribosomal RNA
Source: RNAcentral
UGGGGAAUAUUGCACAAUGGAGGGAACUCUGAUGCAGCGACGCCGCGUUAACGAAGAAGGCUUUCGAGUCGUAAAGUUCUUUUAUAUGGGAAGAUAAUGACGGUACCAUAAGAAAAAGCCCCGGCUAACUACGUGCCAGCAGCCGCGGUAAUACGUAGGGGGCUAGCGUUGUCCGGAAUCACUGGGCGUAAAGGGUUCGCAGGCGGAAAUGCAAGUCAGGUGUAAAAGGCAGUAGCUUAACUACUGUAAGCAUUUGAAACUGCAUAUCUUGAGAAGAGUAGAGGUAAGUGGAAUUUUUAGUGUGGCGGUGAAAUGCGUAGAUAUUAAAAAGAAUACCGGUGGCGAAGGCGACUUACUGGGCUCAUUCUGACGCUGAGGAACGAAAGCGUGGGUAGCAAACAGG